GACGAACGCUGGCGGCGCGCUUUAUACAUGCAAGUCGAACGUGAAGCUCGGAGCUUGCUCCGGGUGGAAAGUGGCGAACGGGUGAGUAUCACGUGAGAAACCUGCCCCGAAGACCGGGAUAACACCGGGAAACCGGUGCUAAUACCGGAUGCCCUCACCGGAUCGCAUGGUCUGGUGAGGAAAUGGAUUCCGCUUCGGGAUGGUCUCGCGGCCUAUCAGCUUGUUGGUGGGGGUAANGGCCCACCAAGGCUUCGACGGGUAGCUGGUCUGAGAGGAUGUCCAGCCACACUGGGACUGAGACACGGCCCAGACUCCCACGGGAGGCAGCAGUAGGGAAUCUUGCACAAUGGACGAAAGUCUGAUGCAGCGACGCCGCGUGUGGGAU
This 385-nucleotide ribosomal RNA is filed under the name uncultured bacterium. Its description in RNAcentral is "bacterial SSU rRNA". It matches the Rfam family "Bacterial small subunit ribosomal RNA", at positions 28 to 409 of the family's 1533-position model. The record is from RNAcentral.